UUGGGAAAUGAAGAAUCAUUGAGCUUGUGAUUAGUAUAGAUCUAAACUCUAGCACAAAAUUAAUUUGUGCGGGGGGUUUGGUUAAGAUUGCAGUAAUUAGAAAUUAACUUGAUACGUCACUUCUUUGAUUGCAAAACUUUAACAGCCUUUUAUUUUGUUAUCUGGAUCUAAAGUCAGUUCUAAUAAACAAAUCGUUAGCACCUUUUCUUAUUUUGUUUAAAAACAAUCACCUACUGUUCUGUUUUUCUUAAUUUUAUAAUCAAAAACCCUCCCCUGCUUUCGUUUUGCUUAAACAAACCCAGACCCCUUUUCUUACUUUUUCCGAGUUCUUGGCUGUAGUUGAGUUUUGUGGUCUUAGUCGCGAGUCAGGAGUUGGGGUUGCGUCCAUGAGCCGCGCCGAGUCACCACUGAUUCAUAUAACCGAGUCACCGAUUCUGCUUUGUGUGUCGAGUUGAGUACGAGUCCAGUUCUGAGUUUAUGUGCAUCGUUUUGAUUCCAUCGAGUCGCGUUGUUACUGAGUUUAAUCGAGUCGCUGGUUGUGUAUUUCUGGGUUUAGUUUUCGUUUUGUUUUUCUACGUUUUCAGUCGAGUGUUUUCUGUUUGCUGCUUGAGUUUGAGGCCGAGUUUCCGAGUCCAGAGUCGAGUCGAGUCUGCGUCUUAUUGGAAUGCCGAGCUU
This 675-nucleotide long non-coding RNA is filed under the name Daucus carota (carrot). RNAcentral describes it as "long non-coding RNA (DCAR_LNC006921)". Lineage: Eukaryota; Viridiplantae; Streptophyta; Magnoliopsida; Apiales; Apiaceae. The record is from RNAcentral.